GGUAAACCUAAACAAGAAGACAUUUAGGCUGGGCAUAGUGGCACAUGCCUGUAAUCCCAGCAACUUGGGAGGCUGAGACAGGAGGAUCAAUAGUUCAAGGCAAGUCUCAGCAAUUUAGCAAGACCCUGUCUCAAAAUAAAAUAGAGAUGGGGAUGUUGCUCAGUAGUUAAGUGCUCUCUGGUACCUUCCCCCUCAAAAAAAAAAAAAAAAUUCCUGCUCAAGAUGGGUCUUAGCUGUGUUUCAUUCAGCCAGAGGAAUCUUUUUUGGGUGUGUGAUGCUGGGGAUUGAACCCAGGGCCUUGUGUAUGUGAGGCAAGCACUCUGCCAACUGAGCUAUAUCCCUGGAUAUAUUAGGAAUUAGGAAUCUUAAUCUUAGAAAAUAAAUGUGUUUAAGACUAAAAUUCCAAGAGAUGGGUUCAGAAGCAAGCAGAACAGUUGGGGAAGAUCUCCCUAGGACGAUAUAGCAAAGGAUGGAACCGAGGAGAAAGGAAAGCCCAUGGAAUGGGGCUCUGGAAGCUCAGCUCUAGGAAGAGUGAUGAAAGGGAACUUUGGAGAGAUCAUGACAGCUUUCCCAACACUGAAGAAGGGGAAAAAUAACCAAGCACUGAGCAGGAUGAAUACUUAAAAUUCCACAUCUGGAUAUAUCAGGACUCCAAUGAUGAUGAUUAAAAAGAACACAGAGCCAAGCAUGGUGGUGCAAAAAAAAAAAAUUACACAGAAAUGGAUUUCAUGGAGGCUGGGGAUGUGGCUCAAGCGGUAGCGCGCUCCCCUGGCAUGCGUGCGGCCCGGGUUCGAUCCUCAGCACCACAUACAACACAAAGAUGUUGUGUCCGCCGAUAACUAAAAAAAAAUAAAUAUUAAACUUCUGUCUCUCUCUCUCCCCCCUCACUCUCUCGCUCUCUUAAAAAAAAAAAAGAAAUGGAUUUCAUGGUCUAGAAAAUAUCAAGAUAACAAUGUACAUUGGUCUAUUUACUAUGAUAUUGCUAUACCAACAAGGGAGGGACUGGGAGAACAGUGAGAAUGCAGUCACAGAUCUAUGCAUUUAUAAAAUCCUUCACUGGGGAAAGCUGGUAUUAUAAAUCAGUGGGAUCGGGGCUGGGGAUGUGGCUCAAGCGGUAGCACGCUCGCCUGGCCCGGGUUCGAUCCUCAGCACCACAUACAAACAAAGAUGUUGUGUCCGCCGAAAACUAAAAAAUAAAUAUUUUUAAAAAUAAAUAAAUAAAUCGGUGGGGAAGGAUGCUCUUUAAGUUACUGAGAUUGAAAUAACUGGACUUGGGCUGGGGUUACAGCUCAGCGGCAGAGCACUUGCCUCGCACAUGUGAGGCACUGGGUUCGGUCCUCAGCACCCAGCACCACAUAAAAAUAAAUAAAGAUAUUGUGUCCAUAUAAAAAAAUCUUUUUUUUUUUAAAGAGAGAGAGAGAAUUUUUUAAUAUUUAUUUUUUAGUUUUUGGCGGACACAACAUCUUUGUUUGUAUGUGGUGCUGAGGAUCGAACCCGGGCCGCACGCAUGCCAGGCGAGCACGCUACCGCUUGAGCCAC
RNAcentral lists this long non-coding RNA (1539 nucleotides) under Marmota monax (woodchuck). The record is from RNAcentral. Lineage: Eukaryota; Metazoa; Chordata; Mammalia; Rodentia; Sciuridae.